ACAUGCAGUCGAGCGCAGGCACACCAGAAGAUCGCUUCGGGGUGAUUCUGGGGGAGUGAGGUGCGGAAUGGUGAGUAAUCUAUGGGCUCCCGGGGGGUAAGACUGGGAUACCUUCGGGAAACCGGAGCUAAAACCGGAUAUUAAUUCCUUUCACCUGAUGGCAAAUGGAAAGACGGUGUCCGCUGUCCCUUACAGAUGGGCCCGCGGUGCAUUGCCCACUUGGUGGGGUAAUGGCCCCCCGUCGCAAAGAAGCAUAACCCACCUGAGAGGGUGAUCGGCCACCCUGGGACUGAGACACGGCCCAGACUCGAACAGGAGGCAAUGGGCGGGAAUCUUCCCC
RNAcentral lists this ribosomal RNA (340 nucleotides) under uncultured bacterium. RNAcentral describes it as "bacterial SSU rRNA". It matches the Rfam family "Bacterial small subunit ribosomal RNA", at positions 39 to 369 of the family's 1533-position model. The record is from RNAcentral.